This 1160-nucleotide ribosomal RNA is filed under the name Escherichia coli. Its description in RNAcentral is "partial 23S ribosomal RNA". It matches the Rfam family "Bacterial large subunit ribosomal RNA", at positions 1 to 1191 of the family's 2925-position model. Lineage: Bacteria; Pseudomonadati; Pseudomonadota; Gammaproteobacteria; Enterobacterales; Enterobacteriaceae. The record is from RNAcentral.
GGGUUGUGAGGUUAAGCGACUAAGCGUACACGGUGGAUGCCCUGGCAGUCAGAGGCGAUGAAGGACGUGCUAAUCUGCGAUAAGCGUCGGUAAGGUGAUAUGAACCGUUAUAACCGGCGAUUUCCGAAUGGGGAAACCCAGUGUGAUUCGUCACACUAUCAUUAACUGAAUCCAUAGGUUAAUGAGGCGAACCGGGGGAACUGAAACAUCUAAGUACCCCGAGGAAAAGAAAUCAACCGAGAUUCCCCCAGUAGCGGCGAGCGAACGGGGAGCAGCCCAGAGCCUGAAUCAGUGUGUGUGUUAGUGGAAGCGUCUGGAAAGGCGCGCGAUACAGGGUGACAGCCCCGUACACAAAAAUGCACAUACUGUGAGCUCGAUGAGUAGGGCGGGACACGUGGUAUCCUGUCUGAAUAUGGGGGGACCAUCCUCCAAGGCUAAAUACUCCUGACUGACCGAUAGUGAACCAGUACCGUGAGGGAAAGGCGAAAAGAACCCCGGCGAGGGGAGUGAAAAAGAACCUGAAACCGUGUACGUACAAGCAGUGGGAGCACAGAGCAAUCUGUGUGACUGCGUACCUUUUGUAUAAUGGGUCAGCGACUUAUAUUCUGUAGCAAGGUUAACCGAAUAGGGGAGCCGAAGGGAAACCGAGUCUUAACUGGGCGUUAAGUUGCAGGGUAUAGACCCGAAACCCGGUGAUCUAGCCAUGGGCAGGUUGAAGGUUGGGUAACACUAACUGGAGGACCGAACCGACUAAUGUUGAAAAAUUAGCGGAUGACUUGUGGCUGGGGGUGAAAGGCCAAUCAAACCGGGAGAUAGCUGGUUCUCCCCGAAAGCUAUUUAGGUAGCGCCUCGUGAAUUCAUCUCCGGGGGUAGAGCACUGUUUCGGCAAGGGGGUCAUCCCGACUUACCAACCCGAUGCAAACUGCGAAUACCGGAGAAUGUUAUCACGGGAGACACACGGCGGGUGCUAACGUCCGUCGUGAAGAGGGAAACAACCCAGACCGCCAGCUAAGGUCCCAAAGUCAUGGUUAAGUGGGAAACGAUGUGGGAAGGCCCAGACAGCCAGGAUGUUGGCUUAGAAGCAGCCAUCAUUUAAAGAAAGCGUAAUAGCUCACUGGUCGAGUCGGCCUGCGCGGAAGAUGUAACGGGGCUAAACCAUG